UGGCUCCUUGGUCAAGUGGUUAAGACACCGCCCUUUCACGGCGGUAACAUGGGUUCAAAUCCCGUAGGAGUCAU
Molecule: transfer RNA, 74 nt
Filed under: Anaerobutyricum hallii
Lineage: Bacteria; Bacillati; Bacillota; Clostridia; Lachnospirales; Lachnospiraceae
Also listed under: 2 other names
Description: tRNA-Glu(ttc)
Rfam family: tRNA
About the family: Transfer RNA (tRNA) molecules are approximately 80 nucleotides in length. Their secondary structure includes four short double-helical elements and three loops (D, anti-codon, and T loops). Further hydrogen bonds mediate the characteristic L-shaped molecular structure. tRNAs have two regions of fundamental functional importance: the anti-codon, which is responsible for specific mRNA codon recognition, and the 3' end, to which the tRNAs corresponding amino acid is attached (by aminoacyl-tRNA synthetases). tRNAs cope with the degeneracy of the genetic code in two manners: having more than one tRNA (with a specific anti-codon) for a particular amino acid; and 'wobble' base-pairing, i.e. permitting non-standard base-pairing at the 3rd anti-codon position.
Source: RNAcentral